Molecule: ribosomal RNA, 460 nt
Filed under: uncultured bacterium
Lineage: Bacteria
Description: partial 16S ribosomal RNA
Rfam family: Bacterial small subunit ribosomal RNA
Source: RNAcentral
CCUACGGGAGGCAGCAGUGAGGAAUAUUGGUCAAUGGGCGUAAGCCUGAACCAGCCAAGUCGCGUGAGGGAUGAAGGUUCUAUGGAUCGUAAACCUCUUUUAUAAGGGAAUAAAGUGCGGGACGUGUCCCGUUUUGUAUGUAACUUAUGAAUAAGGAUCGGCUAACUCCGUGCCAGCAGCCGCGGUAAUACGGAGGAUCCGAGCGUUAUCCGGAUUUAGUGGGUUUAAAGGGUGCGUAGGCGGCCUUUUAAGUCAGCGGUGAAAUUCUGUGGCUCAACCAUAGAAUUGCCGUUGAAACUGGGAGGCUUGAGUAUGUUUGAGGCAGGCGGAAUGCGUGGUGUAGCGGUGAAAUGCUUAGAUAUCACGCAGAACCCCGAUUGCGAAGGCAGCCUGCCAAGCCAUGACUGACGCUGAUGCACGAAAGCGUGGGGAUCAAACAGGAUUAGAUACCCCAGUAGUC